Long non-coding RNA from Vespa crabro (European hornet), 2421 nucleotides. RefSeq lists it as uncharacterized. The record is from RefSeq and is a predicted model, not a curated record. The transcript is spliced from 3 exons. NCBI's taxonomy places the organism in Eukaryota, Metazoa, Arthropoda, Insecta, Hymenoptera, Vespidae.
AAAACUUGCGGAGGCAGAUCACCCCUGACAGUUCACACUCGGCUAGCUCGUUCGGAAGCACCGCGCGGCGCAUUCUGGUCCUAAAAAGUCAGUUUGAAACUUGAUAGCGCUGGAGAUCGAUCCAGUUUCAAAGGUCGCAAAACGGUUGUCCCCUUUCCAACAAGCAUUCACGAAUCUUUUAUCGCUAAUCUCCCAUAAAUCUGACUUUUAGAAAGAAAGUUACGUACGACGAUAAUUUUUCGACGUUUUUCACCAGUAAAACGUUGCCGUUGUUUCAUGAAAAUCAGCUGAAAUACGAAACACGGAUAUCGAGUUUUCCCCGAUAGAAUAGAAUUCCCCGAGGUCGUAAAUCGGCAAUAACGAUGGUCGAGGCUGGUUUCAGGGAAUCUCAAAAAUCUACCGGAACUCUCUUAGCCUUUUCGAAAAUCGCACCUGUGAAAACUUGACUCGACAGGAGUACCUGGUUUAUGUUAGUUAUUCGACGUGGGCCUAUUGUUGAAACUUUCCUUUAUUUAUCAUUAAAAAAAAAAAAAUUCCCUCAUAUAUUCCCUGGAUCGGAAGAAUAAAUAAUAUUCUUUGAAGUUAGUUAAAAGAAGAUUGUAAGAAAAAAAAUGAAAGGCGAAAAGCAAAAGAAAAGAAAAAAAAAAGAAGAAGAAGAAAAAGAAGAAAGAAAAAACAAAAGAAUAAAACGAGGUUAAAGUAUCAAUUGACGAUACGACUUAAUUUCGUAAUAUCGGUUGUACAUUUAAACAGGUGUACAUAUGUACAUAUGUACGUACGAACGUGCUAAUCGUUAUGGGAAGAAACUUCGACGAAGGAAGACGUUCGUAUUUUUAGCAACGUAUUUACAUUCUUGCCUUCUCAAGGGCGAGCCUCCGUUCGUGCUUCUGCCCGGAAACACGAUAUUCUGCUAGCGAGUAAGAAGGCCCGAGUUCGAGAUCGGCCAUCGGAGCAGCGUGAGGACCGUGGACGUUCAAAGAGAGUUGAUUCAAGAGAAUAAAUCCCACAGGAUUACAUCCCUUUUCGGUGCCGAAGGGAACUAUCUGACAGUAAAUCUUGACGAGCUUGCAGAAGAAAAGAGACAGCAGUAAUAGUAGCUGACAGUCGUAGUAGUAGUAGUAGUAGUAAUAGUAGUAGAGAGAACAAGAGAGAUAGAGCGUGGAUUGGUUGAUGGAUUAUUCGAAACGCAUCUUUGACAUUACCGUAAAGACAUGGCCAAACGUGGACAGACGUGGCAAUGGAUCGUAGAGAGACAGAAAACGUUUCUUUCUAUUCGGUCCUCCUUCGCCAUCUUUUUUUUCUUCUUGUCUUUCUCCUUUAUUAUUGUUCAAUGUGCCAGAGGAAAAACUUAAAUCUUUCUCUAUAAACUUUCUCUUUUUCUUUUGCAAUAAUUUAAAUUUCUUAAACGAAUUAAAUCAAUGUGAUUAAUAGGAAGAAGGAAUUAAUUAUAGGCAUUAAUGAAAAUGAGAUAAAUACAGAUGAUGUAUGGAUCAUUUUUCAUAUAUCUUUAUAUCCUUUGAGGAAUUUAAUUUUUUUCGUUCGGAGAUCUUUUAAACGAAUCUUUUUAUUUGGCUUUAAUAACGAAGGCAAGGCUUUUCGAAUAAACGUUUAUGCGUAUACGGGUAACCAAUCGAUUUUAUUACUCUUGAUUUCUUAUGAAACUCGAUCACGGUGAGAAACAAACGACGUCAGACGGUCGAUUUAGCAAAGAUCGUAUAAAUAAAAUCCUCAAUGGAAUUUCUAGUGGGAGAGUUUCCUUUCAAAUUUUCUCAAUAUGAAAAGAUACGAUUACGAUGAAGCUUUGUGCAUAUUUAUUGUUAAAUUUAAUUAUACGCGAUAUUAUAACUUUCAAUGGGAAUUCUCGAAGGGUUACAAAAAUAUGAUUAUCCCAAUGGUUCAGCUAAAAUACGAUGUUAGAAAUUAGUUUUAGAUAUUUAUGUCGACUCGCAAUCUUACUGACAGGGAUAAAUAUGUUGGUCCAUUAAAAAGACGAUGAAUAGGGAAAGAUAGAAACGAAGGAGGUAGCUAAGUUGAUUCGAGCAUGCGCGUCUCCACGCCCUUCUCUAUCUCCGUGUUCCUCUUAUCCGUCACUACCGUGCGAAUAACCGGAUGGUGGAUGACCGCGAACGCAAGGUCAACCAGCGUCUAUCUUCGUUGGAAGAAAAUUUGUCGUUUCUAAUGUCAUUGGACACGUUCACAUUUCUAUCCUGAGAUUUCUCCUCUUCUUUUUUUUUUCUUUUUAUAAAUCCAAUUCCAAAUAAAAAUUUCUAUAUUUCCAACGAAAUACCGUAUUUAUCAGAUAACUUUAUAAUUUUAUUCUUAUACAAAUCGAUGAAAACAAUGAUUACGAUAAAAAGCCAUCAAUUCUAUAAAUGUCAAAUCUUUAAUUUUUGAAAAUACUUACGUAGGUCCAGAUUAUGA